GAUGAACGCUGGCGGCGUGCCUAAUACAUGCAAGUCGAGCGAACGGACGAGAAGCUUGCUUCUCUGAUGUUAGCGGCGGACGGGUGAGUAACACGUGGAUAACCUACCUAUAAGACUGGGAUAACUUCGGGAAACCGGAGCUAAUACCGGAUGAUAUUUUGAACCGCAUGGUUCAAAAGUGAAAGACGGUCUUGCUGUCACUUAUAGAUGGAUCAGCGCUGCAUUAGCUAGUUGGUAAGGUAACGGCUUACCAAGGCAACGAUGCAUAGCCGACCUGAGAGGGUGAUGGGCCACACUGGAACUGAGCCACGGUCCAGACUCCUACGGGAGGCAGCAGUAGGGAAUCUUCCGCAAUGGGCGAAAGCCUGACGGAGCAACGCCGCGUGAGUGAUGAAGGUCUUCGGAUCGUAAAACUCUGUUAUUAGGGAAGAACAUAUGUGUAAGUAACUGUGCACAUCUUGACGGUACCUAAUCAGAAAGCCACGGCUAACUACGUG
Molecule: ribosomal RNA, 497 nt
Filed under: uncultured bacterium
Lineage: Bacteria
Description: partial 16S ribosomal RNA
Rfam family: Bacterial small subunit ribosomal RNA
Source: RNAcentral